RNAcentral lists this ribosomal RNA (268 nucleotides) under uncultured bacterium. RNAcentral's name for it is "partial 16S ribosomal RNA". It matches the Rfam family "Bacterial small subunit ribosomal RNA", at positions 1234 to 1500 of the family's 1533-position model. The record is from RNAcentral.
CGUAAACAAAGGGAAGCGAAGGGGCGACCUGGAGCAAAUCUCAAAAAUAACGUCUCAGUUCGGACUGUAGUCUGCAACCCGACUACACGAAGCUGGAAUCGCUAGUAAUCGCGAAUCAGAAUGUCGCGGUGAAUACGUUCCCGGGUCUUGUACACACCGCCCGUCACACCAUGGGAGUUGGUAAUGCCCGAAGUCAGUGACCCAACCGCAAGGGAGGGAGCUGCCGAAGGCAGGACUGAUAACUGGGGUGAAGUCGUAACAAGGUAGC